This 441-nucleotide ribosomal RNA is filed under the name uncultured bacterium. RNAcentral's name for it is "partial 16S ribosomal RNA". It matches the Rfam family "Bacterial small subunit ribosomal RNA", at positions 339 to 795 of the family's 1533-position model. The record is from RNAcentral.
CUACGGGCGGCUCCAGUAGGGAAUUUUCCACAAUGGGGGCAACCCUGAUGGAGCAACGCCGCGUGCAGGAUGAAGGCCUUCGGGUUGUAAACUGCUUUUAUAUGUGACGAAUAUGACGGUAGCAUAUGAAUAAGGAUCGGCGUAACUCCGUGCCAGCAGCCGCGGUCAUACGGAGGAUCCAAGCGUUAUCCGGAAUUACUGGGCGUAAAGAGUUGCGUAGGUGGCAUAGUAAGUAGAUAGUGAAAGCGUGUGGCUCAACCAUACUCACAUUAUCUAAACUACUAAGCUAGAAGAUGAGAGAGGUACCUGGAAUUCCCAGUGUAGGAGUGAAAUCCGUAGAUAUUGGGAGGAACACCGAUGGCGUAGGCAGGGUACUGGCUCAUUCUUGACACUAAGGCACGAAAGCGUGGGGAGCAAACGGGAUUAGAUACCCGAGUAGUC